AGAGUUUGAUCCUGGCUCAGAUUGAACGCUGGCGGAAUGCUUUACACAUGCAAGUCGAGCGGCAGCGCGGGGCAACCUGGCGGCGAGCGGCGAACGGGUGAGUAAUACAUCGGAACGUGCCCAGACGUGGGGGAUAACUACUCGAAAGAGUGGCUAAUACCGCAUACGAUCUACGGAUGAAAGCGGGGGAUCGCAAGACCUCGCGCGUCUGGAGCGGCUGAUGGCAGAUUAGGUAGUUGGUGGGAUAAAAGCCUACCAAGCCAACGAUCUGUAGCUGGUCUGAGAGGAUGAUCAGCCACACUGGGACUGAGACACGGCCCAGACUCCUACGGGAGGCAGCAGUGGGGAAUUUUGGACAAUGGGCGAAAGCCUGAUCCAGCCAUUCCGCGUGCAGGAUGAAGGCCCUCGGGUUGUAAACUGCUUUUGUACAGAACGAAAAAGCUCUGGCUAAUACCUGGAGUCCAUGACGGUACUGUAAGAAUAAGCACCGGCUAACUACGUGCCAGCAGCCGCGGUAAUACGUAGGGUGCAAGCGUUAAUCGGAAUUACUGGGCGUAAAGCGUGCGCAGGCGGUUUUGUAAGACAGAGGUGAAAUCCCCGGGCUCAACCUGGGAACUGCCUUUGUGACUGCAAGGCUGGAGUGCGGCAGAGGGGGAUGGAAUUCCGCGUGUAGCAGUGAAAUGCGUAGAUAUGCGGAGGAACACCGAUGGCGAAGGCAAUCCCCUGGGCCUGCACUGACGCUCAUGCACGAAAGCGUGGGGAGCAAACAGGAUUAGAUACCCCGGUAGU
Molecule: ribosomal RNA, 789 nt
Filed under: uncultured bacterium
Lineage: Bacteria
Description: bacterial SSU rRNA
Rfam family: Bacterial small subunit ribosomal RNA
Source: RNAcentral